GAUGAACGCUGGCGGCGUGCCUAAUACAUGCAAGUCGAGCGAACGGACGAGAAGCUUGCUUCUCUGAUGUUAGCGGCGGACGGGUGAGUAACACGUGGAUAACCUACCUAUAAGACUGGGAUAACUUCGGGAAACCGGAGCUAAUACCGGAUAAUAUUUUGAACCGCAUGGUUCAAAAGUGAAAGACGGUCUUGCUGUCACUUAUAGAUGGAUCCGCGCUGCAUUAGCUAGUUGGUAAGGUAACGGCUUACCAAGGCAACGAUGCAUAGCCGACCUGAGAGGGUGAUCGGCCACACUGGAACUGAGACACGGUCCAGACUCCUACGGGAGGCCGCCGUAGGGAAUCUUCCGCAAUGGGCGAAAGCCUGACGGAGCAACGCCGCGUGAGUGAUGAAGGUCUUCGGAUCGUAAAACUCUGUUAUUAGGGAAGAACAUAUGUGUAAGUAACUGUGCACAUCUUGACGGUACCUAAUCAGAAAGCCACGGCUAACUACGUG
RNAcentral lists this ribosomal RNA (497 nucleotides) under uncultured bacterium. Its description in RNAcentral is "partial 16S ribosomal RNA". It matches the Rfam family "Bacterial small subunit ribosomal RNA", at positions 28 to 507 of the family's 1533-position model. The record is from RNAcentral.